Molecule: ribosomal RNA, 460 nt
Filed under: uncultured bacterium
Lineage: Bacteria
Description: partial 16S ribosomal RNA
Rfam family: Bacterial small subunit ribosomal RNA
Source: RNAcentral
CCUACGGGAGGCAGCAGUGAGGAAUAUUGGUCAAUGGACGAGAGUCUGAACCAGCCAAGUAGCGUGAAGGAUGACUGCCCUCUGGGUUGUAAACUUCUUUUAUAUGGGAAUAAAAUGUUCCACGUGUGGGAUUUUGUAUGUACCAUAUGCAUAAGGAUCGGCUAACUCCGUGCCAGCCGCCGCGGUAAUACGGAGGAUCCGAGCGUUAUCCGGAUUUAUUGGGUUUAAAGGGAGCGUAGGUGGAUUGUUAAGUCGGUUGUGAAAGUUUGCGGCUCAACCGUAAAAUUGCAGUUGAAACUGGCAGUCUUGAGUACAGUAGAGGUGGGCGGAAUUCGUGGUGUAGCGGUGAAAUGCUUAGAGAUCACGAAGAACUCCGAUUGCGAAGGCAGCUCACUGGACUGCAACUGACACUGAGGCUCGAAAGUGUGGGUAUCAAACAGGAUUAGAUACCCGGGUAGUC